This 208-nucleotide ribosomal RNA is filed under the name uncultured bacterium. RNAcentral's name for it is "partial 16S ribosomal RNA". It matches the Rfam family "Bacterial small subunit ribosomal RNA", at positions 568 to 774 of the family's 1533-position model. The record is from RNAcentral.
CGCGUAGGUGGUUUGUUAAGCGAGAUGUGAAAGCCCCGGGCUUAACCUGGGAACGGCAUUUCGAACUGGCAGGCUAGAGUGUGGUAGAGGGUAGUGGAAUUUCCUGUGUAGCGGUGAAAUGCGUAGAUAUAGGAAGGAACACCAGUGGCGAAGGCGGCUACCUGGACCAACACUGACACUGAGGUGCGAAAGCGGUGGGGAGCAAACA